UUAGACUCUUGGGGAUUUUUUACAAGCAUUUGUUUUGGAAAAUAUUACCCCAGUGACGAAAGGCACCAAAUCGAGUAAGGAUAAGGAAUGCUGGUCAAGGCGCAUAUCAGCUUGAGCAGUGCAGCAUUUACAGCCACCAUUUUCCCCCUGGGGAGGAAAACAGCAGCUGAGGGAACCUGUGUACAUGCUGAUGCAAUGCUGUUCAAAAUUUUGUAAAAGUUAACUCCAUCCUCCACAAAAAUGGCCAAACGAAAGAUGUACAAUAGGAGCUUUCAAGACAGGAGGGAGGCAGAUUAUCUGUUCACGAAUAUAAAGGACAGACUUGUGACGGAGCUAACGUGUAUGAAACGAAACAUUUUGAGAAGUAUAAAGACCUGGACGUGAAGCAGAAGCUCCAGAAAGCGGAGGAGAUGAAACAAAGUCUGAUUUCCCGGCAGACUAUGUUCAUGGAAGCAAAAUCAAAAAGUGAAGCUGCUGUAAAGGUUAGCGUUAUUGUGGCAGCAGAGAUUGCAAAAUCUUCCCGGCCUUUUAAUGAGGGAGAGUUUGUCAAAAAGUGUAAGGUCAAAGUUUGCGACAUUGUGUGCCCAGAUAAAAGGCAAGAAUCAAUGUAAUCAAUGUGCAGAUCAAUGUGCAGAGUAAAUCAGAGUGUAACAAACUGAGCUUGAAUAUAUGUUUUCUUUAUGCACUUUUUCUACUCCAAGGCAUGGAGGUUAAUAGUCGAAAAGUUCGAUUUUUAUUGAAUGAAAUUAUUAUUUUUGGUUGUUUUGUUGUUAGUUUUGAAAAAGAUCCACUUCAAAAAGGAACCUAAAAAGAUACAAUGAGAGACAUAAUUUAUUUUAUUUAUUUAAAUAAGAAAUUAACACCACUCAUGUGUCUUUUAUUUCUGGUUGUUCCCGUGACUUUAUCUCAGUUUUAUAUUUUGGCACUGUGAAUUUGAGUUUGACACCCCUGCUCUAACCUAAAUAUAUUCCUUUGAACAAGUAAAGUACUUGCAUUUGCAAGAGCAUUUGGAUACCGAUGAAC
Molecule: long non-coding RNA, 1023 nt
Organism: Tachysurus fulvidraco (yellow catfish)
Lineage: Eukaryota; Metazoa; Chordata; Actinopteri; Siluriformes; Bagridae
Exons: 3
Source: RefSeq, a predicted model, not a curated record